RNAcentral lists this ribosomal RNA (492 nucleotides) under uncultured bacterium. Its description in RNAcentral is "partial 16S ribosomal RNA". It matches the Rfam family "Bacterial small subunit ribosomal RNA", at positions 28 to 507 of the family's 1533-position model. The record is from RNAcentral.
GAUGAACGCUAGCUACAGGCUUAACACAUGCAAGUCGAGGGGAAACGGCAUUGAGUGCUUGCACUCUUUGGACGUCGACCGGCGCACGGGUGAGUAACGCGUAUCCAACCUUCCCAUUACUGUGGGAUAACCUGCCGAAAGGCAGACUAAUACCGCAUAGUCUUCGAUGACGGCAUCAGAUUUGAAGUAAAGAUUUAUCGGUAAUGGAUGGGGAUGCGUCUGAUUAGCUUGUUGGCGGGGUAACGGCCCACCAAGGCUACGAUCAGUAGGGGUUCUGAGAGGAAGGUCCCCCACAUUGGAACUGAGACACGGUCCAAACACCUACGGGAGGCAGCAGUGAGGAAUAUUGGUCAAUGGACGGAAGUCUGAACCAGCCAAGUAGCGUGCAGGAUGACGGCCCUAUGGGUUGUAAACUGCUUUUGUAUGGGGAUAAAGUUAGGGACGUGUCCCUAUUUGCAGGUACCAUACGAAUAAGGACCGGCUAAUUCCGUG